GCCGGUGACUCAAGGUGGUUAAGUACGAAGAGCUGGCGAUGUUUUUCGUUUAUUAUUUUAUAGUGCUAGUGCGUUGAGAACUUGCAAUUGCUGGGAUUGGUACGGGACUUCUUCCCCUAGAGAUGUGGAGUGACAUCUGUCAGGUAAAUUUAUGAUCCAUCAGCUGACUUGGACUUCACUUCGUUAUAGGACUAGAAGAUGAAUAUUUAUUAACUGACACUGAUGAAAUGGACUUUAGAUAUUGUACGAGUCCAUACCAUCGUGAAGAAACCUACAGCUGUUCGGAUGCGAUAACAAUUAUAGGAUUUUAUGGGUUAACCACACACAGCUAUGAUAUGAAUGAAGAGCAAAGUUGAAAUCUCAAGAAAUGGAUUUUAUAAGUCAUCCUUGUGGUCCGAUGAAAAAGUUAACGUGAAAGAAAGAGAAAAGGUCACAUUACUACUUUAUUCAGGCCUGUGAAUCACACCAUCAAUUUUGUGAUUAUUAGUGUUGUCCUUUAAAUCAAAACUUGAGUCAUCUGGUCAUUUCUCAGUUAAAAUCUAUCAACGCCCACUAAUGCAACAGUUUGAUUGCUGUCAUGUUAAACCACACUCCAGAGACUAGGUACGAUUAUGAUACACUGCUAGUGGCUACAGACCCUUCCCCCAUUAGAACUUCAAUUUCAUUCUUGUACAAUUGACAUCAGAUAAAAUGGAAAGAAACUGAAUAAAGAUGGCUCGGCCCUCCUGUGCUACGUAUUCAGGCAGUGAAGUCGCCCCACCAGAGGUCUGAGAUCCCAGUGUUCCUGAAGGGAUCACGGAUAGUGAAAGGACAUUGUUUCUGCAAUGCGACAGCUACACUGAUGUACCACAGUCCCCACUGAGUCCCUCAAGAGUCUGGAUGUUUUCUUACGAACCUGGUGUCACUGACAGUCAUUCCAGAAACAACAUCUUCCAUGUCAGUAAGACUUAGUAACCUCACGAAGUCGGCCACUUUCACCCAGCAUCUGUGGAGACCUCAUGGAGUCAUGGUUGCCUCAGGCAAGAGGGUCGACAUUCCUGUAAGUUCAGUGUCGAGUGUCUUGGACGGUUUUUGAACAAUUUAAAGCGACCGUGUAAUCGUCAUCUGUCUUGUAUGAUCUCCAAGCUUAGUUUUCUAUGGAACAAUACGAUAUUUGAAUUCAGUACUUGCCAAACCAUGAAUUUUUCCAGGGAGUUAAUUGUAUAUUCAGGUUAGGUGCUAAAUUUUCAUAAGGGAGUUAACAUAUGUUUCUUUUAAGCCAUGGUUAAAUUUCAGGGACAGAGAAGUCUUGCUAUAUCACCAUUUCCAAAGAAAUUUUUUAGUUUUGGAAGGAAGUUUUUCUUGUAUCAGAUUUUCAAAACAAUGAAUCACUGGUUUUAAGAGCUGGCUGUGUAUAAUGAAAAUCACAAUGCUGAAGAUAUCAAAUUGUUGUUAUUGCUUGAGCAUCUGCCUGUAAAAUUCUGGCGUUUAUGUUCAAUCAUCUGUAAAUUAUAGUAGGUACUCAAAAUUGGGCUUUUUCCAACCAGUGACCUGCUGUUACUAUAUUAAAUAUGCAUUUGAGGUAAAGUAAUCGAGUAACUAAAACCAGUGUUUAGUAAAUAUAUGUUUAUGCAAGAAUACAUUUGAGGUAAAGUAAUAGCAGUUGAAGUAAAGUAAUUGGAAUUUUAGUAAAGUACUUGCAACUGAAGUAAAGUAAUUGCAUUUGAGGUAGAGUAAUUAAAACCAAUGUUUUGUCAAUCCUUUUACGUAAGAAGCCAGCAAUGGAAAUAAAAAAUCAUUUUGGGCAGAGGGAAUCCUAACAGCAUGUUCCGUAGAGAAAUAUCUUGACGAUCGUAAAACCAAUGUUUUGUCAAUCCUUUUACGUAAGAAGCCAGCAAUGGAAAUAAAAAAUCAUUUUGGGCAGAGGGAAUCCUAACAGCAUGUUCCGUAGAGAAAUAUCUUGACGAUCGUAUGAAUUUGGUAACGAUCGUCAACUAUCUAUUGGCUUGUUCAAAAUACUUCGCCCAAGAAACACCAGACUGAACUAGCAAUGAUUAUGUCGACCUUAUUGUCUGGGGUGGUCACGUGACAUCUCUAAAUGCGUUAGGGGUUAAAUUGGUCGACGUAUUGAAGGUUACUGAUAAUUCUUAAUUGGCAUGAAAAGAAAAUGGGUCUGGCCUUAGGUUCUAUAUAGAAAACGUAAAAACUCUUGAGAGAUUUGACAGGGACUAUUGUAUUUUGAAGGCUGUCGCAUUGUAGAGACAAAACUAUCUUUGUAACACUCUCUCUGGGACAUUUUGAGAUCCCAACACAUGGAAGGGGUUAAUUCCUUUAACUGAUUAACUCCAUUAACUGAUUUAUAAUAUGGACCGGAAAAAUAAAUGUUAAGCUUUUUUGCUAAUAAA
This is a long non-coding RNA of Macrobrachium nipponense, 2384 nucleotides long. RefSeq lists it as uncharacterized. The transcript has 5 exons. NCBI's taxonomy places the organism in Eukaryota, Metazoa, Arthropoda, Malacostraca, Decapoda, Palaemonidae. The record is from RefSeq and is a predicted model, not a curated record.